AUACGGAGGGUGCGAGCGUUAUUCGGAAUCACUGGGCGUAAAGGACGCGUAGGCGGGUUGGCAAGUCAGAUGUGAAAUCCUACAGCUUAACUGUAGAACUGCAUUUGAAACUGCUAACCUAGAGUAUGGGAGGGGGAGAUGGAAUUAGUGGUGUAGGGGUAAAAUCCGUAGAUAUCACUAGGAAUACCGAAAGCGAAGGCGAUCUCCUGGAACAUAACUGACGCUAAGGCGUGAAAGCGUGGGGAGCAAACAGGAUUAGAAACCCCAGUAGUCC
This 274-nucleotide ribosomal RNA is filed under the name uncultured bacterium. RNAcentral describes it as "partial 16S ribosomal RNA". It matches the Rfam family "Bacterial small subunit ribosomal RNA", at positions 523 to 796 of the family's 1533-position model. The record is from RNAcentral.